GGCAGCAGCCGCGGGAACACCGGCGGCCCGAGUGGUGAUCGUGAUUAUUGGGUCUAAAGGGUCCGUAGCCGGUUUGGUCAGUCCUCCGGGAAAUCUGAUAGCUCAACUACUAGGCUUUCGGGGGAUACUGCCAGACUUGGAACCGGGAGAGGUAAGAGGUACUACAGGGGUAGGAGUGAAAUCUUGUAAUCCCUGUGGGACCACCUGUGGCGAAGGCGUCUUACCAGAACGGGUUCGACGGUGAGGGACGAAAGCUGGGGGCACGAACCGGAUUAGAUACCCGGGUAGUCCCAGCCGUAAACGAUGCUCGCUAGGUGUCAGGCAUGGCGCGACCGUGUCUGGUGCCGCAGGGAAGCCGUGAAGCGAGCCACCUGGGAAGUACGGCCGCAAGGCUGAAACUUAAAGGAAUUGGCGGGGGAGCACAACAACGGGUGGAGCCCUGCGGUUUAAUUGGACUCAACGCCGGACAACUCACCGGGGGCGACAGCAAUAUGUAGGCCAAGCUGAAGACUUUGCCUGAAUCGCUGAGGAGUGGUGCAUGG
Molecule: ribosomal RNA, 542 nt
Filed under: uncultured archaeon
Lineage: Archaea
Description: bacterial SSU rRNA
Rfam family: Archaeal small subunit ribosomal RNA
Source: RNAcentral